CGUGGAUAACCUGCCUCAAGGCUGGGGAUAACAUUUGGAAACAGAUGCUAAUACCGAAUAAAACUUAGUAUCGCAUGAUAUCAAGUUAAAAGGCGCUACGGCGUCACCUAGAGAUGGAUCCGCGGUGCAUUAGUUAGUUGGUGGGGUAAAGGCUUACCAAGACGAUGAUGCAUAGCCGAGUUGAGAGACUGAUCGGCCACAUUGGGACUGAGACACGGCCCAAACUCCUACGGGAGGCAGCAG
RNAcentral lists this ribosomal RNA (243 nucleotides) under uncultured bacterium. RNAcentral's name for it is "partial 16S ribosomal RNA". It matches the Rfam family "Bacterial small subunit ribosomal RNA", at positions 116 to 354 of the family's 1533-position model. The record is from RNAcentral.